Molecule: ribosomal RNA, 416 nt
Filed under: uncultured bacterium
Lineage: Bacteria
Description: bacterial SSU rRNA
Rfam family: Bacterial small subunit ribosomal RNA
Source: RNAcentral
GGACCCGCACAAGCGGUGGAUGAUGUGGAUUAAUUCGAUGCAACGCGAAAAACCUUACCUACCCUUGACAUGUGAGGAACUUGUGAGAGAUCACUUGGUGCCCGAAAGGGAACCUCAACACAGGUGCUGCAUGGCUGUCGUCAGCUCGUGUCGUGAGAUGUUGGGUUAAGUCCCGCAACGAGCGCAACCCUUGUCAUUAGUUGCUACAUUUAGUUGAGCACUCUAAUGAGACUGCCGGUGACAAACCGGAGGAAGGUGGGGAUGACGUCAAGUCCUCAUGGCCCUUAUGGGUAGGGCUUCACACGUCAUACAAUGGCACGUACAGAGGGUUGCCAACCCGCGAGGGGGAGCCAAUCCCAGAAAGCGUGUCGUAGUCCGGAUUGUUCUCUGCAACUCGAGAACAUGAAGUCGGAAUC